Oncorhynchus mykiss (rainbow trout) is the source of this 7258-nucleotide non-coding RNA. NCBI's taxonomy places the organism in Eukaryota, Metazoa, Chordata, Actinopteri, Salmoniformes, Salmonidae. The record is from RefSeq and is a predicted model, not a curated record.
UUAGAUGGGUAAGAUGGUUAGAAGGGUCAGAUGGGUAAGAUGGUUAGAAGGGUCCGAUGGUUAGAAGGGUUAGAUGGGUAAGAUGGUUAGAAGGGUCAGAUGGGUAAGAUGGUUAGAAGGGUAAAAAUGGAUUAGAUGGGUAAGAUGGUUUGAAGGGUCAGAUGGGUAAGAUGGUUAGAAGGGUCCGAUGGUUAGAAUGGUUAGAUGGGUAAGAUGGUUAGAUGGGUAAGAUGGUUAGAAGGGUCCGAUGGGUAAGAUGGUUAGAAGGCUCAGAUGGUUAGAAGGGUAAAAAUGGAUUAGAUGGUUAGAAGGGUCCGAUGGUUAGAAGGGUUAGAUGGGUAAGAUGGUUAGAAGGGUCAGAUGGGUAAGAUGGUUAGAAGGGUAAAAAUGGAUUAGAUGGGUAAGAUGGUUUGAAGGGUCAGAUGGUUAGAAGGGUAAAAAUGGAUUAGAUGGGUAAGAUGGUUUGAAGGGUCAGAUGGUUAGAAGGGUAAAAAUGGAUUAGAUGGGUAAAAUGGAUUAGAUGGGUAAGAUGGUUUGAAGGGUAAGAUGGUUAGAAGGGUCCGAUGGUUAGAAUGGUUAGAUGGGUAAGAUGGUUAGAUGGGUAAGAUGGUUAGAAGGGUCAUAUGGGUAAGAUGGUUAGAAGGGUCAGAUGGUUAGAAGGGUAAAAAUGGAUUAGAUGGUUAGAAGGGUCCGAUGGUUAGAAGGGUUAGAUGGGUAAGAUGGUUAGAAGGGUCAGAUGGGUAAGAUGGUUAGAAGGGUAAAAAUGGAUUAGAUGGGUAAGAUGGUUUGAAGGGUCAGAUGGUUAGAAGGGUAAAAAUGGAUUAGAUGGGUAAGAUGGUUUGAAGGGUCAGAUGGUUAGAAGGGUAAAAAUGGAUUAGAUGGGUAAAAUGGAUUAGAUGGGUAAGAUGGUUUGAAGGGUAAGAUGGUUAGAAGGGUCCGAUGGUUAGAAUGGUUAGAUGGGUAAGAUGGUUAGAUGGGUAAGAUGGUUAGAAGGGUCAGAUGGGUAAGAUGGUUAGAAGGGUCAGAUGAUUAGAAGGGUAAAAAUGGAUUAGAUGGGUAAAAUGGAUUAGAUGGGUAAGAUGGUUUGUAGGGUCAGAAGGGUGAAAAUGGAUUAGAUGGGUCAAAUGGAUUAGAUGGGUAAGAUGGUUUGAAGGGUAAGAUGGUUAGAAGGGUUAGAUGGGUUAGAUGGUCAGAAGGGUAAAAUGGUUAGAAUGGUAAAAUGGAUUAGAUGGGUUAGAAGGGUAAAUUGGUUAGAAGGCUAAAGUGAUUAGAAAGGUAAAAUGGGUUAAAAGGGUUAGAUGGAUUAGAAGGGUAAGAUGGUUAGAAGGGUAAAAUGGUUAGAAGGGUAAAAUGGAUUAGAUGGUCAGAAGGGUAAAAUUGUCAGAAGGGUAAAAUGGGUUAGAAGGAUUAGAUGGGUUAGAAGGGUAAAAUGGGUUAGAUGGAUUAGAAGGGUUAGAAUGGUCAGAUGGGUUAGAAGGUUUAGAUGGAUUAGAAGGGUUAGAAGUGUAAGGUGGGUAAGAUGGUUAGAAGGGUAAGAUGGUUAGAAGGGUAAAAUGGAUUAGAUGGGUUAGAAGGGUAAAAUGGUUAGAAGGAUAAAAUGGAUUAGAUGGGUUAGAAGGGUAAGAUGGUUAGAAGGGUAAAUGGAUUAGAUGGGUAAAAUGGAUUAGAUGGGUAAGAUGGUUUGAAGGGUCAGAUGGUUAGAAGGGUAAAAUGGAUUAGAUGGGUUAGAAGGGUAAAAUGGUUAGAAUGAUAAAAUGGAUUAGAUGGGUUAGAAGGGUAAGAUGGUUAGAAGGGUAAAUGGAUUAGAUGGGUAAAAUGGAUUAGAUGGGUAAGAUGGUUUGAAGGGUCAGAUGGUUAGAAGGGUAAAAUGGUUAGAAGGGUAAAAUGGAUUAGAUGGUCAGAAGGGUAAAAUUGUCAGAAGGGUAAAAUGGGUUAGAAGGAUUAGAUGGGUUAGAAGGGUAAAAUGGGUUAGAUGGAUUAGAAGGGUUAGAAUGGUCAGAUGGGUUAAAAGGUUUAGAUGGAUUAGAAGGGUUAGAAGUGUAAGAUGGGUAAGAUGGUUAGAAGGGUAAGAUGGUUAGAAGGGUAAAAUGGAUUGAAGGGUAAAAUGGAUUACAUGGGUUAGAAGGGUAAAAUGGUUAGAAGGAUAAAAUGGAUUAGAUGGGUUAGAUGGUUAGAAGGGUAAGAUGGUUAGAAGGGUAAAUGGAUUAGAUGGGUAAAAUGGAUUAGAUGGGUAAAAUGGUUUGAAGGGUAAGAUGGUUAGAAGGGUCCGAUGGUUAGAAGGGUUAGAUGGGUAAGAUGGUUAGAAGGGUCAGAUGGGUAAGAUGGUUAGAAGGGUCCGAUGGUUAGAAGGGUUAGAUGGGUAAGAUGGUUAGAAGGGUCAGAUGGUUAGAAGGGUAAAAAUGGAUUAGAUGGGUAAAAUGGUAAAAUGGUUAGAAGGAUAAAAUGGAUUAGAUGGGUUAGAUGGUUAGAUGGGUAAGAUGGUUUGAAGGGUCAGAUGGUUAGAAGGGUAAAAAUGGAUUAGAUGGGUAAAAUGGAUUAGAUGGGUAAGAUGGUUUGAAGGGUAAGAUGGUUAGAAGGGUCCGAUGGGUAAGAUGGUUAGAAGGGUCCGAUGGUUAGAAGGGUCAGAUGGAUAAGAUGGUUAGAAGGGUCAGAUGGUUAGAAGGGUAAAAAUGGAUUAGAUGGGUAAAAUGGUAAAAUGGUUAGAAGGAUAAAAUGGAUUAGAUGGGUUAGAUGGUUAGAAUGGUAAGAUGGUUAGAAGGGUAAAUGGAUUAGAUGGGUAAAAUGGAUUAGAUGGCUAAAAUGGUUUGAAGGGUAAGAUGGUUAGAAGGGUCCGAUGGUUAGAAGGGUUAGAUGGGUAAGAUGGUUAGAAGGGUCAGAUGGGUAAGAUGGUUAGAAGGGUAAAAAUGGAUUAGAUGGGUAAGAUGGUUUGAAGGGUCAGAUGGUUAGAAGGGUAAAAAUGGAUUAGAUGGGUAAGAUGGUUUGAAGGGUCAGAUGGUUAGAAGGGUAAAAAUGGAUUAGAUGGGUAAAAUGGAUUAGAUGGGUAAGAUGGUUAGAAGGGUCCGAUGGUUAGAAUGGUUAGAUGGGUAAGAUGGUUAGAUGGGUCCGAUGGUUAGAAGGGUCAGAUGGGUAAGAUGGUUAGAAGGGUCAGAUGGUUAGAAGGGUAAAAAUGGAUUAGAUGGGUAAAAUGGAUUAGAUGGGUAAGAUGGUUUGAAGGGUCAGAAGGGUAAAAAUGGAUUAGAUGGGUCAAAUGGAUUAGAUGGGUAAGAUGGUUUGAAGGGUAAGAUGGUUAGAAGGGUUAGAUGGGUUAGAUGGUCAGAAGGGUAAAAUGGUUAGAAUGGUAAAAUGGAUUAGAUGGGUUAGAAGGGUAAAUUGGUUAGAAGGCUAAAGUGAUUAGAAAGGUAAAAUGGGUUAAAAGGGUUAGAUGGAUUAGAAGGGUAAGAUGGUUAGAAGGGUAAAAUGGUUAGAUGGGUAAAAUGGAUUAGAUGGUCAGAAGGGUAAAAUUGUCAGAAGGGUAAAAUGGGUUAGAAGGAUUAGAUGGGUUAGAAGGGUAAAAUGGGUUAGGUGGAUUAGAAGGGUUAGAAUGGUCAGAUGGGUUAGAAGGUUUAGAUGGAUUAGAAGGGUUAGAAGUGUAAGGUGGGUAAGAUGGUUAGAAGGGUAAGAUGGUUAGAAGGGUAACAUGGAUCAGAUGGGUUAGAAGGGUAAAAUGGUUAGAAGGAUAAAAUGGAUUAGAUGGGUUAGAUGGUUAGAAGGGUAAGAUGGUUAGAAGGGUAAAUGGAUUAGAUGGGUAAAAUGGAUUAGAUGGGUAAAAUGGUUUGAAGGGUAAGAUGGUUAGAAGGGUCCGAUGGUUAGAAGGGUUAGAUGGGUAAGAUGGUUAGAAGGGUCAGAUGGGUAAGAUGGUUAGAAGGGUCAGAUGGGUCCGAUGGUUAGAAGGGUCAGAUGGGUAAGAUGGUUAGAAGGGUCAGAUGGGUAAGAUGGUUAGAAGGGUAAAAAUGGAUUAGAUGGGUAAGAUGGUUUGAAGGGUCAGAUGGUUAGAAGGGUAAAAAUGGAUUAGAUGGGUAAGAUGGUUUGAAGGGUCAGAUGGUUAGAAGGGUAAAAAUGGAUUAGAUGGGUAAGAUGGUUUGAAGGGUCAGAUGGUUAGAAUGGUAAAAAUUGAUUAGAUGGGUAAGAUGGUUAGAUGGGUAAGAUGGUUAGAAGGGUCAGAUGGGUAAGAUGGUUAGAAGGGUCCGAUGGUUAGAAGGGUCAGAUGGGUAAAAAUGGAUUAGAUGGGUAAAAUGGAUUAGAUGGGUAAGAUGGUUUGAAGGGUCAGAUGGUUAGAAGGGUAAAAAUGGAUUAGAUGGGUCAAAUGGAUUAGAAGGGUAAAUGGAUUAGAUGGGUAAAAUGGAUUAGAUGGGUAAAAUGGUUUGAAGAGUAAGAUGGUUAGAAGGGUUAGAUGGGUAAGAUGGUUAGAAGGGUCAGAUGGGUAAGAUGGUUAGAAGGGUCCGAUGGUUAGAAGGGUUAGAUGGGUAAGAUGGUUAGAAGGGUCAGAUGGGUAAGAUGGCUAGAAGGGUAAAAAUUGAUUAUAUGGGUAAGAUGGUUUGAAGGGUCAGAUGGUUAGAAGGGUAAAAAUGGAUUAGAUGGGUAAGAUGGUUUGAAGGGUCAGAUGGUUAGAAUGGUAAAAAUGGAUUAGAUGGGUAAGAUGGUUAGAUGGGUAAGAUGGUUAGAAGGGUCAGAUGGUUAAAAUGGUUAGAAGGGUCAGAUGGUUAGAAGGGUAAAAAUGGAUUAGAUGGGUAAAAUGGAUUAGAUGGGUAAGAUGGUUUGAAGGGUAAGAUGGUUAGAAGGGUCCGAUGGUUAGAAGGGUUAGAUGGGUAAGAUGAUUAGAAGGGUCUGAUGGUUAGCAGGGUUAGAUGGGUUAGAUGGAUUAGAUGGUUAGGAGGGUUAGAAGGGUAAGAUGGUUAGAAGGGUAAAAAUGGAUUAGAUGGGUUAGAAGGGUAAAAUGGUUAGAAGGGUAAAAUGGUUUGAAUGGUAAGAUGGGUUAGAUGGUCAGAAGUGUAAAAUGGUUAGAAUGGUAAAAUGGGUUAGAAAUGUAAAUUGGAUUAGAUGGGUUAGCUGGUUAGGAGGGUUAGAAGGGUAAGAUGGUUAGAAGGGUAAAAUGGUUAGAAGGGUAAAAUGGUUAGAAGGGUAAAAUGGUUAGAAGGGUAAGAUGGUUAGAAGGGUAAAAUGGUUAGAAUGGUAAAAUGGUUAGAAGGGUAAGAUGGUUAGAAGGGUAAAAUGGUUAGAAUGGUAAAAUGGAUUAGAUGAGUUAGAAGGGUCAAAUGGGUUAGAUGGAUAGAAGGGUAAGAUGGUUAAAAUGGUUAGAAUGGUAAAAUGGUGGAUUAGAAGGGUUAGAAUGGUCAGAUGGGUUAGAAGGUUUAGAUGGAUUAGAAGGGUUAGAAGUGUAAGGUGGGUAAGAUGGUUAGAAGGGUAAGAUGGUUAGAAGGGUAAAAUGGAUCAGAUGGGUUAGAAGGGUAAAAUGGUUAGAAGGAUAAAAUGGAUUAGAUGGGUUAGAUGGUUAGAAGGGUAAGAUGGUUAGAAGGGUAAAUGGAUUAGAUGGGUAAAAUGGAUUAGAUGGGUAAAAUGGUUUGAAGGGUAAGAUGGUUAGAAGGGUCCGAUGGUGAGAAGGGUUAGAUGGGUAAGAUGGUUAGAAGGGUCAGAUGGGUAAGAUGGUUAGAAGGGUCCGAUGGUUAGAAGGGUCAGAUGGGUAAGAUGGUUAGAAGGGUCAGAUGGGUAAGAUGGUUAGAAGGGUAAAAAUGGAUUAGAUGGGUAAGAUGGUUUGAAGGGUCAGAUGGUUAGAAGGGUAAAAAUGGAUUAGAUGGGUAAGAUGGUUUGAAGGGUCAGAUGGUUAGAAGGGUAAAAAUGGAUUAGAUGGGUAAGAUGGUUUGAAGGGUCAGAUGGUUAGAAUGGUAAAAAUGGAUUAGAUGGGUAAGAUGGUUAGAUGGGUAAGAUGGUUAGAAGGGUCAGAUGGGUAAGAUGGUUAGAAGGGUCCGAUGGUUAGAAGGGUUAGAUGGGUAAGAUGAUUAGAAGGGUCUGAUGGUUAGCAGGGUUAGAUGGGUUAGAUGGAUUAGAUGGUUAGGAGGGUUAGAAGGGUAAGAUGGUUAGAAGGGUAAAAAUGGAUUAGAUGGGUUAGAAGGGUAAAAUGGUUAGAAGGGUAAAAUGGUUUGAAUGGUAAGAUGGGUUAGAUGGUCAGAAGUGUAAAAUGGUUAGAAUGGUAAAAUGGGUUAGAAAUGUAAAUUGGAUUAGAUGGGUUAGCUGGUUAGGAGGGUUAGAAGGGUAAGAUGGUUAGAAGGGUAAAAUGGUUAGAAGGGUAAAAUGGUUAGAAGGGUAAAAUGGUUAGAAGGGUAAGAUGGUUAGAAGGGUAAAAUGGUUAGAAUGGUAAAAUGGUUAGAAGGGUAAGAUGGUUAGAAGGGUAAAAUGGUUAGAAUGGUAAAAUGGAUUAGAUUAGUUAGAAGGGUCAAAUGGGUUAGAUGGAUAGAAGGGUAAGAUGGUUAAAAUGGUUAGAAUGGUAAAAUGGUGGAUUAGAAGGGUUAGAAUGGUCAGAUGGGUUAGAAGGUUUAGAUGGAUUAGAAGGGUUAGAAGUGUAAGGUGGGUAAGAUGGUUAGAAGGGUAAGAUGGUUAGAAGGGUAAAAUGGAUCAGAUGGGUUAGAAGGGUAAAAUGGUUAGAAGGAUAAAAUGGAUUAGAUGGGUUAGAUGGUUAGAAGGGUAAGAUGGUUAGAAGGGUAAAUGGAUUAGAUGGGUAAAAUGGAUUAGAUGGGUAAAAUGGUUUGAAGGGUAAGAUGGUUAGAAGGGUCCGAUGGUGAGAAGGGUUAGAUGGGUAAGAUGGUUAGAAGGGUCAGAUGGGUAAGAUGGUUAGAAGGGUCCGAUGGUUAGAAGGGUCAGAUGGGUAAGAUGGUUAGAAGGGUCAGAUGGGUAAGAUGGUUAGAAGGGUAAAAAUGGAUUAGAUGGGUAAGAUGGUUUGAAGGGUCAGAUGGUUAGAAGGGUAAAAAUGGAUUAGAUGGGUAAGAUGGUUUGAAGGGUCAGAUGGUUAGAAGGGUAAAAAUGGAUUAGAUGGGUAAGAUGGUUUGAAGGGUCAGAUGGUUAGAAUGGUAAAAAUGGAUUAGAUGGGUAAGAUGGUUAGAUGGGUAAGAUGGUUAGAAGGGUCAGAUGGGUAAGAUGGUUAGAAGGGUCCGAUGGUUAGAAGGGUCAGAUGGGUAAAAAUGGAUUAGAUGGGUAAAAUGGAUUAGAUGGGUAAGAUGGUUUGAAGGGU